This is an RNA transcript of Nymphaea colorata (pocket water lily), 1227 nucleotides long. RefSeq lists it as uncharacterized. The transcript has 4 exons. The record is from RefSeq and is a predicted model, not a curated record. Lineage: Eukaryota; Viridiplantae; Streptophyta; Magnoliopsida; Nymphaeales; Nymphaeaceae.
UAUAAAUACCACACUUCCCGUUCCAUCCGGAGAGCGCGGGAGAGGGAAGAACAAGGAGAACAGGAGAUGGCGGUGAGACUCCACGAAACGGUACUCAGAGGCUUGAGGGGAAGGGCGUCCCGAGACAUCUUCUCGAGCUCUAGCCUUCUAAACCGCCGGAACAUGUCGUCCGGGUCGUCGCGGAAGAAGAAGGAGGGGGACAAAAAUGGCAGUGGCCUCGCGGAGUUUAUCGAGAUCAAGGUCUCCGAGGGAUCCGUCCUCGACGAAGAGGUGAAGCGGCUCGAGGACGCAAUCUACGCUUUCAUGGUCCGGCAGGCUGCGCCGGCGUGGCUCCCGUUCCGGCCGGGGUUUUCGUACUGGGUCCCGCCUCGCGAGAGCACGUCAGCCGCCGCCGCCUCGAUGAACAUCACGAAUCUGAUCGGAGGGAUGGUUCAUCUGAUGACGGUGGAGGAGUCGCUGUCCUUGACCACUGCAAGGGGGUGGCCUUCUUAUGUCUAUUACGUCGAAGGUGCAUCUACUCAUUCGGGGGAAGUCACCUCUAAAUCCGCAGAGUCUGAUGAAGAUGAGGGAUAAAAUGUCUUUGCAUAACUACUGAAUGCAGGAGUGGGCUGCAUGGACGGGCACAUUCUAGUUCGUCUGAAUGAUGAAGUCCUUGUCGUCGUUGGAUAGUUGAAGUUAUUACUGGGGACGCUCCUGUUGGCGAAAAUGCUUCCUUUUGUCGAGUAAGUUAUCCCAGCAAUGAUUUCAAAGUGUUAAAAUGGAAAAGCUUUGCAUGGGAAGUUCUGGUGGGACGGGCCUUGGCUGUCAUACGGACGGUCAAGCUUCCAUUGAAAAGCUGAAGUUCGGUGUACUUCAGGUUUAACUCUUUCCAACUAUUGUGUACGCUUCCUUUGAAGUAUUGUAUGGGCUUAGGGAGAGAAUCUCUAGUCUGAGAACGAUGACAAAGAUCGUGGUGGUCCACCUCAGCAAAAGAGACGAAGGCCUCUCCAUGAAUCAGCACGACAUUCCGGCGGAACACAAGGUAUGCCUUACAUAUGGCAAGCUAAAUGAACAUGUGCAUGAUGGUCACGUUUUCCUAGAGAGAGAAACAGAUAACUGUGGAAACGUGUAGAAACUGUCCAAACGCCUCAAAUUUCAACCAUAAGUUUUAAAACUCAAGGAGGUGCCAUACUGCCAUGUGUUGUGAAAAAAGCUGAUUGCAAGCAUGUAUAAGAGUGCUUCUGAUAC